This 1654-nucleotide small RNA is filed under the name Histoplasma capsulatum var. duboisii H88. RNAcentral's name for it is "Histoplasma capsulatum H88 hypothetical RNA". The record is from RNAcentral. Lineage: Eukaryota; Fungi; Ascomycota; Eurotiomycetes; Onygenales; Ajellomycetaceae.
UCGCUUCACCACUUCUCGAAUUCUUCAUUCCCGGACCCUGAAUCUGCAUACCCGUGCGCCCGGACUUGAGGAUACGAAUAGGAAGAAAAAGCAAAGCGAGAAAAACGAAAUUAAGGAAUUAAGAAGAAGCUUUCCGGCGGACUCGUGCUGCCGUGCUUGUGUAUUUUAUCCUACCUUAGAUGCAUACGAAGCAUGCACGUAUGGUUACGAGAAAGAAAGAAAAAGUACUCCUGCAUCGUUCUAUUCUUAGCUGCAGAAGUGUAAGCUGAAGGGAGUAACAGUGUGAUCUAUAUACAUUUUAUCAGAAUAUGGCACAGGGGCGAAACAAAUUAAACAUUUUUCUAGGAAAGAAAGAUAGCACAAAAUUUGCCCGCAAAAUUCACAAUUUACCCCUUCAUCUCACUUUCCUGCCCCCCCGUUCAGCAUGAUAUCCUGGAUAUCAUGUUGCAGCGUAUCAAGAAUGGAGUCAGCUUCAGCCUUACUGAUCCGAUCACCGUGGCUAAAUAUCCCCACAUCGAGCCCGUUAUCUCUUAUCGCAACUUCCACGUCGAUCCCGGGCUGGGGUAGAGCAUAUAUAUGGUUAGCACAAGGAACUUUGCCCCCAAAAAGAUAAAACAAAAAAGAAAAAGAAAAAGAAAAAGAAAAUAGAACGGGAAAACUCGCUUAUCCACGACAACCAACGCCUUUUUUUUUGGUUGGGGAGGUUUGAGUGGCUUACCAUGUAAAUAUCUGCAUAAGUCUCGCUCAAGCCUGGCUCCAGCGCCGCUUGGUUGGAAUUCGGCACUUCUCCAGGGCAAUCAUCCGACGUGCUGUCGCGGCCAACUUCAACUCCUUCAGCUGCUUGCAACGGCACAAUCUGAGCCAUCCCCCUUGUAAGCUCUGCAGGGCUAUGAACUCCACCCGGCGUAACCGGCAACUUAAUGAAAUUCACAAAGGUAUCCAGUUUCACCCCGGUCCAGUCCGCAAUAUCGAUCAGAGAGACGCAUGAAUGUUCGACGCGGCUCACCUCAUGCAAGUCCCCUUGGAUUCUCCGUGCCUGGUCGACGAUGGACUGCUGUUUGCUGUCUGUUUCUUGUUGGAGGGCAAUACGUAGGGGAACUAUGUUGAGGGUAGGUGCAAUUAGUUCUGGAAGGCCGUCUAGGGAGUGCGAGCGGUUUGCGAGGUAGAUUCCGACAGUGAGGUUGUCGGGACUGGUAGUGUUUCUGUGGUCAACUCUAUUAUUGAUGAUGGCGGAAUGGAUUCUGGCAUAGAUGGCUAAAAAGAGAGCCUGCACGCUGACGCCGUACGAUCGGCCGAGCUUCUCCAGUUUGUCAAUGUCUUUCACGAGAGAUUGGCGGUAUUUAUGAACCAUCUCUGCGUCAAUUGGCUGUCUGAUUUUUGGAAGCUGGUUUUCUUGUUGUCGUUCAGAAUUCCUGACAGGCGCAAGGUAGUGUCUCCAGAAGUUUUGUCGUUCUUGUGGCUUGGAGUGUAUAUGCUGGUGGAUGACUAGCUCUGAUAUGUCCACUUUGGCAUUCUGAGGUUUGGCGCUCGGCCUUGGGCUGGUGCAGAGUUCCGCAAGCAUAUUCAUCAUUCUAGGCAGACUGACAGCAUCGUACAAGGCAUGGUGGAUGUGAAGAAUCAAUAUCGUUUCGUCCAGCUGCUGUGAAGCAUAUAA